UUUGAGCCUCUCGCUUUCGGCGCCUCCUUCGGGGGGUGAAACGGGAAUGCGGUGAGAUCGGUUGCGAUCAAAUCCGCGGCUGCCCCGCAACUGUGAGCGGCGAGCCUGUCUCUCCACGCGCCACUGGCCCGCUGCGGCUGGGAAGGCGGAGCGAGGCGUCCGAGCCGCGAGCCAGGAGACCGGCCGGAAGCGCGUUUUCGCU
This 202-nucleotide non-coding RNA is filed under the name Hyphomicrobiales bacterium. Lineage: Bacteria; Pseudomonadati; Pseudomonadota; Alphaproteobacteria; Hyphomicrobiales. The record is from RNAcentral.